GGAUUAGAUACCCUGGUAGUCCAUGCCGUAAACGUUGGGCACUAGGUGUGGGGGACAUUCCACGUUUUCCGUACCGUAGCUAACGCAUUAAGUGCCCCGCCUGGGGAGUACGGCCGCAAGGCUAAAACUCAAAGGAAUUGACGGGGGCCCGCACAAGCGGCGGAGCAUGCGGAUUAAUUCGAUGCAACGCGAAGAACCUUACCAAGGCUUGACAUGAACCGGAAAUACCUGGAAACAGGUGCCCCGCUUGCGGUCGGUUUACAGGUGGUGCAUGGUUGUCGUCAGCUCGUGUCGUGAGAUGUUGGGUUAAGUCCCGCAACG
Molecule: ribosomal RNA, 321 nt
Filed under: uncultured bacterium
Lineage: Bacteria
Description: bacterial SSU rRNA
Rfam family: Bacterial small subunit ribosomal RNA
Source: RNAcentral